Long non-coding RNA from Arabidopsis thaliana (thale cress), 207 nucleotides. RefSeq annotates it as other RNA. NCBI's taxonomy places the organism in Eukaryota, Viridiplantae, Streptophyta, Magnoliopsida, Brassicales, Brassicaceae. The transcript has a single exon. The record is from RefSeq.
CUAAGGUAGCUAAAUUGAUGUGUGUUUGAUUAAAUAAACUAGAUUAAGGGUCAAAAAGUCAUGAAAUGUGUGCGAAUCACAUUAAAUGGAGAAACAAAAAGAUGGCUAGUAAACGCGUCGAAGCCUUUGACCCUUUCCACUUUCUUGUCGCAUUCGUUGAUACUUUGAGAUUUCUGGUAAUGGGGAAGAGACCUGAUAUUUUAUAUU